RNAcentral lists this transfer RNA (28 nucleotides) under Kalopanax septemlobus. RNAcentral describes it as "partial tRNA-Ser". The record is from RNAcentral. Lineage: Eukaryota; Viridiplantae; Streptophyta; Magnoliopsida; Apiales; Araliaceae.
GGAGCUAUCAACCACUCAGCCAUCUCUC